This 405-nucleotide ribosomal RNA is filed under the name uncultured Bdellovibrio sp. RNAcentral's name for it is "bacterial SSU rRNA". It matches the Rfam family "Bacterial small subunit ribosomal RNA", at positions 355 to 774 of the family's 1533-position model. The record is from RNAcentral. Lineage: Bacteria; Pseudomonadati; Bdellovibrionota; Bdellovibrionia; Bdellovibrionales; Pseudobdellovibrionaceae.
UAGGGAAUAUUGCACAAUGGAGGAAACUCUGAUGCAGCGACGCCGCGUGAGUGAUGAAGGCCUUCGGGUCGUAAAGCUCUGUCGCAGGGGAAUAACACAAUGAAGGUACCCUGUAAGAAAGGAUCGGCUAACUUCGUGCCAGCAGCCGCGGUAAGACGAGGGAUCCUAGCGUUGUUCGGAAUCAUUGGGCGUAAAGCGGAUGUAGGUGGCUAUGUAAGUCAGAUGUGAAAGCCUGGGGCUCAACCCCAGAAGUGCAUUUGAUACUGCGUAGCUUGAGUGUCGGAGAGGUUACUAGAAUUGUUGGUGUAGUGGUGAAAUACGUAGAUAUCAACAGGAAUACCGGAGGCGAAGGCGGGUAACUGGCCGAACACUGACACUGAGAUCCGAAAGCGUGGGGAUCAAACA